UUCGGGUUGUAAACCUCUUUUAGCAGGGNAAGAAGCGAAAGUGACGGUACCUGCAGAAAAAGCACCGGCUAACUACGUGCCAGCAGCCGCGGUAAUACGUAGGGUGCAAGCGUUAUCCGGAAUUAUUGGGCGUAAAGAGCUCGUAGGCGGUUUGUCGCGUCUGCUGUGAAAUCUGGGGGCUCAACCCCCAGCCUGCAGUGGGUACGGGCAGACUAGAGUGCGGUAGGGGAGAUUGGAAUUCCUGGUGUAGCGGUGGAAUGCGCAGAUAUCAGGAGGAACACCGAUGGCGAAGGCAGAUCUCUGGGCCGUAACUGACGCUGAGGAGCGAAAGGGUGGGGAGCAAACAGGAUUAGAUACCCUGGUAGUCCAAGGGCGAA
Molecule: ribosomal RNA, 377 nt
Filed under: uncultured bacterium
Lineage: Bacteria
Description: bacterial SSU rRNA
Rfam family: Bacterial small subunit ribosomal RNA
Source: RNAcentral